GACGAACGCUGGCGGCGUGCUUAACACAUGCAAGUCGAGCGGAAGAGCCCUGCUUUUGUCGGGUGCUCGCGGGGCAAACGAGUGAAUAACACGUGAGUGACCUGCCCUUGGGUUUAGGAUAACUUCAGGAGACCGGUGCUAAUGCCUGAUAGGAGCGCCUGCUGCAUGGUGGGGGUUGGAACGUUUCGGCGGUUGGGGAGGGACUCGCGGCUUAUCAGCUUGUUGGUGGGGUAGUGGCCUACCCAGGCUUUGGCGGGUAGCCGGCGUGUGAGGGUGAACGGCGACCUGGGGACUGGGGUAGGGCCCAGACUGCUACGGCGGGCAGCAGUGGAGAACCUUGUCCAAUCGGCGGGAGCCUGAGGCAGCAGCGCCGCGCGGGGGAUGACGGCCCUCGGGUGGGAAACGGCUGUCGCCUGCGACGAUGCGUGAGUGACGGUAAUGGGCAAAGAAGCACCGGCUAACUCCGUG
This 468-nucleotide ribosomal RNA is filed under the name uncultured bacterium. Its description in RNAcentral is "partial 16S ribosomal RNA". It matches the Rfam family "Bacterial small subunit ribosomal RNA", at positions 28 to 507 of the family's 1533-position model. The record is from RNAcentral.